GAUGAACGCUGGCGGCGUGCCUAAUACAUGCAAGUCGAGCGAACAGACGAGGAGCUUGCUCCUAUGAGAUUAGCGGCGGACGGGUGAGUAACACGUGGAUAACCUACCUAUAAGCCUGGGAUAACUUCGGGAAACCGGAGCUAAUACCGGAUAAUAUAUUGAACCGCAUGGUUCAAUAGUGAAAGACGGUUUUGCUGUCACUUAUAAAUGGCCCCGAGCCGCAUUAGCUGGUUGGUAAGGAAACGGCUUACCAAGGCAAGGAUGCGUAGCCGACCGGAGAGGGUGAUCGGCCACACUGGAACUGAGACACGGCCCAGAAUCCUACGGGAGGCAGCAGUAGGGAAUCUUGGGCAAUGGGCGAAAGCUUGACGGAGCAACGCCGGGUGAGUGAUGAAGGUCUCCGGAUCGUAAAACCCUGUUAUUAGGGAAGAACAAAUGUGUAAGUAACUAUGCACGUCUUGACGGUACCUAAUCAGAAAGCCACGGCUAACUACGUG
Molecule: ribosomal RNA, 497 nt
Filed under: uncultured bacterium
Lineage: Bacteria
Description: partial 16S ribosomal RNA
Rfam family: Bacterial small subunit ribosomal RNA
Source: RNAcentral